AGCUUUGCGCAAAGAAGCGGUACCAUGGCCAAUGAGGUGAAUCCGAAGCGUGGUUAUUGCUAGUUGAAAACUAUGGA
Molecule: non-coding RNA, 77 nt
Organism: Octopus bimaculoides (California two-spot octopus)
Lineage: Eukaryota; Metazoa; Mollusca; Cephalopoda; Octopoda; Octopodidae
Source: Rfam